This is a long non-coding RNA of Eucalyptus grandis, 269 nucleotides long. RefSeq lists it as uncharacterized. The transcript is spliced from 3 exons. NCBI's taxonomy places the organism in Eukaryota, Viridiplantae, Streptophyta, Magnoliopsida, Myrtales, Myrtaceae. The record is from RefSeq and is a predicted model, not a curated record.
UGCCGGCGCUUUAGAACCGUGGCGCGUUGUUUCUCUCGCGCGGAGGUUCAAACGAAGAAUCAACUCGUGGAGGAAGUUGCGGGUGUUGGGAAAGGGUUCGUUCGGAGAUGCCUAUGAUGUCAUCACUGAUGAUGGAUCCUACUUCGCUGUAAAGGAGAUUUCUUUGUCAGAUCAUACCAAUCAUAGCUUAGUGCAGUUUGAGCAGGACAUUUCUCUUUUAAGUCAGUUGGAACAUGAGAACAUAGUUCAAUGUAUCGGCACAGACAAGG